UUUAUUAUAUACUCCUUUCAUUUCAUAAUUCUGAUGUAUCUAUUCCUAAAAGUUGUCUAUAUACAUGUAAUAUUUUGAUAAGAAUUAUGAAACGAAGGGAGUAGUAUAAAAA
This is a non-coding RNA of Brachypodium distachyon (stiff brome), 112 nucleotides long. Lineage: Eukaryota; Viridiplantae; Streptophyta; Magnoliopsida; Poales; Poaceae. The record is from RefSeq and is marked provisional.